Pieris napi is the source of this 548-nucleotide long non-coding RNA. RefSeq lists it as uncharacterized. The transcript has 3 exons. The record is from RefSeq and is a predicted model, not a curated record. Lineage: Eukaryota; Metazoa; Arthropoda; Insecta; Lepidoptera; Pieridae.
UUUUAUGUUGAUUUUACAGAACUGCGUUCCAGAACAUAUACGAUAUGCUUAGGGACCAAGGAAGUUGUUUCGCGAUUGUCACAGGAAAAGAAUCAUUAUUCGAUGCAUACAGGACCCUUGCUAAAGCCGAAAAAUGGAAACCAUGGGUUUUUGACGUUGAAAGAUAUAUAUCUCCAUACCAUGACAGUCAAGAUUCCCUUAAAGAAAUGCAACAAUUAUUAGACAAAAUUGGAUUUACUAUAACAAAAUUAGAACUCAAGAUGAUAUUUCACGAGUACGAAAAUUUUGAGAAAUUGAAAGGUGGAAUAAUGUCUGUGGUGCCUUUCAAGAUCCCGGAUGAGUUACGUGACGAUUUUUUUAAAGACUUAAGCCUAGAAAUGCAGAUGGUUGACACUAAAACGUACAAUUACAAAAAAUCAAGCAACGAUUUUUUCUUUAAUGUGCAAAUACUCGUUUUAUAUGUUGAAAAAAAGUAAUAAUAUCUGGAUUCGAUUUUUUAGGAUUAUUAAUUGUUCUGAAAUUGAAAUAUAAAAUACAAUGAAUGAAAU